AAUGGCUAUGGUUAUGUACAUCUUGCGACCUGUUCUACAUCCUUUUUGUCACACUCCUUGCAUUCACUUUCUGCUAUUGCUAGACAGACAUUACCGCUUCCAUCAUCUCCUUUCCUGUGUCCUCCAUCCAUUGAUCAUGCUUUCCCCAUCUUUGUUGUGCCUUGUGCCCCUUAAUCUCUACCACCCAACCACCCACUUUAUGGCUUCAAGGCUUGUUGAGUUGAGAGGGGGGAGGUGGUGGAGGGGUCAGAUUAGUUCGGCUGGUGUGGGUUUAACAUGGAGGAACUAGGGGGAAGGGCAUUUUUGAUUGGUCAAAAAUGGUGGGAGUGAUGGCAUGAUUAGAUCAACUUAGAAGAUGCUACUGAAACGAUGGCUAGGCAAUGGAAGGCAGCAAAACUGAUUAAAAAAUGUUGAAUAUGCUUGGUUGGAGAGGACAUGACCUAUAAGUGUGGUGAGUUUGUGAAAACUAAUUGUUAACUACAUUUUGUAUCAUACUUUAUUGGCUGCUAUUUUUUUUAUAAACCAUCAUAUGAUGAUAAAGUCAUAAAGUUAAGCAACCAUAAGCAUAAAAAGUAAAAUGAAAAGGAAAUGUAAAUACCAGAACAAGAAAAUAAAUCAUAUGUAAAUAGCUAUUAGGGAUAGCAAUAUAGAUUGUGGUUACAUAAAGCAGUCACAUAGUUGAAGUCAACUAUAUGCUCGAAGAUAAUAGGAGAGGCAAAUUUUAGCAUCCUAUGCAACAUUGAUUUUUUUUUUUUAAUUUUCUAUUUGAAAAAAAAGGGAUUUGUGAGCUGGAGUUCACUAGAACUUCUGUUAGAUACCGCAUUUUCAGAUAUAGGAAAUGAAAAUUUCAAUAUAACAUGCAAAAAGGCUAAUCUAGAGGGUGGACCUUGUUGCAAUGGUAAGGUUGCUAUAUUGUGACCUGGGUGUCACGGGUUCGAAACACUUGAAAACAACCUCUCUGUAUGUAGGGAUAAGGCUGCAUAUAUCAACCCUUCUUAGACCCCAUAAUGGUGGAUUCCUUGUGCAUUAAGGCUAAUCUCAUCUUUUAAAGCUGAGACAUGUUUUAGAGAGCUGUUGCUUUCUGUGCGCGUGUGCAUGGGUGUGUGUGUUUUGGUAUGGGGUGGGGAGAGGGGGUAAGUUUGUUACGCUUUAUUGUUUGCACACACAUGACUCUUCAUCUUUAUUUUUAAAAUUAUGUAUAUAUGUGUAUGUAUGUCUAUGAAGCUUAUGUUUUGUUGCAAUUCCGUUAUUCCAUUCACAUUUCUUUCUACUUUUAUAAAUUUAUGAUCAUGACAACUUAAUGAAGAUCCUGGGCAUUGAGAUUAGGGAAUAAAAAGGUUGCUUGGUGUUAUAUUUUGCAAUUUAGAUUGAGCCAAGUUGGGAGUGGGAAACUAUAAAUAUUCUGUAGGGUCACUGGAUUUGCAUAGACUCAUUUAUUAGUCAGAAUUGGAAUAAUCUGAUUGUCAUGUUACUUUUUAGUUACUCGAGUCUUUUGAAUCUUUUGCUUCCAGUCACUCUGUCUUUUAUCGUUUAGCAUCUAAUUGAUUACUUACACAUACUGCUGAUGCUACAAACAUUUGUACAUAAUAUUGGAAGUUCCUUAUGUUCACCUUCUACCUUCCUCCCCACUCUCUUCCCUUUCCACAACCCCACUCCACACCACCCCCUCAAAACAACCCCCACACACGCCCUCCAACCCCCCCCCGCGCCACCACCACAACCAAACUUCUACCUUCCUCCCCACUCUCUUCCCUCUCCACAACCCCACUCCACCCCCUCCCCCACAACCAAAAUUAAGAAAUAAAAAAUAAAAAUGCAACAACCUCAUCUCCCACCCCUCCUUACCUUAAUUUUUGUAUAUUAUUAAAAAUUGGAUGUAUAAAUUGGUGAUGAUAAUGCUGCAAUCAGUUUAUUUAUUGAUGACAACGCAUUUGAUUUUUCUGUAUGCUUGUAUGCAUGUAAAUUAUGGUCCAUGUUUAGUUGAAAUCUGAUUCUUAUACCCCCCUCCUCUCAUUUGAACAAUCAGGUGUUAAUUUUCCGGGUUAUCCUGGUGUUCCCAUGGGCUAUAUGAUCCCCUCAGUAGCAUACAGCACAGUAACUUAUGGAUCGAAUGGACUUGGGGGAAAAUACCCAAGUAACAAGGUUAGUACUUCAUAUUAGUGUAUAUGGAAUUUCCUGAUGAUGGCAAGAAACUCUGUCCCACUUUUGUUCUGUAUGCAUCUACCCAUCUGUUUUAAGAUGGAACACUAAUAUUUCCACUGUUAAUCAUAAAUUAUUCUCCUAUAUGAAGGUGAAUGAAUAAUCCAUAUUUGGUAAUGGUAUUUCUAUUAGGAUGCAAAUUCUCUAUAUUGAUCAUAUUUGUGGUACACCUGAAUCAGUCAAUUAGUAUUUUGGAAGUUACUUUUAGUUAGAAAUAUUUAAUUCAUAGAUAUGCCAUGCUGCACAUCAUGACCCUUUGAAGACCAGAAGCAUUAAGAGAAAUUAAAACUGUAUCAUGAACGGCUGCAAUAGAUUUUGUUUUUUUAUCGCAUGUCAUUGUCAAGAAUGCAAUUUCUUUAACUUGUAGAUGCAAACUUUUAUGAAUUUAUGAUUUCAAUCUUUUCUACAGAUGCAAGUCUAACUUCUUCUUCUUCUUCUUCUUUUUCAAGUAUAAUCCUAUUUGGACACUGAUAUCUAACAUGGUGCCUGACAAAACCCAGUGAUUCCUGGGAAAGACAUUUAAAACAUUAAUAGGCCCUAGAAUGGCGUGUAUGGCAUUGAUGAUCAGUCCAAAAAAAAAAAAUGAAGAGAACUUUCUUGGUGCAGCCAGAUUCUUAUAUGGACAUUGAGCUUUCAGAUUUAUGUAAAGGAAACAAAGAAACUUGUACCUACCACCCCCCCUCCUUCAACCAAAAAAAAA
Molecule: long non-coding RNA, 2899 nt
Filed under: Elaeis guineensis (African oil palm)
Lineage: Eukaryota; Viridiplantae; Streptophyta; Magnoliopsida; Arecales; Arecaceae
Description: long non-coding RNA (EGUI_LNC029211)
Source: RNAcentral